Molecule: unclassified non-coding RNA, 341 nt
Filed under: soil metagenome
Description: partial contains 5.8S ribosomal RNA, internal transcribed spacer 2, and large subunit ribosomal RNA
Rfam family: 5.8S ribosomal RNA (bases 1-120)
Source: RNAcentral
GAUGAAGAACGUAGCGAAAUGCGAUAAGUAAUGUGAAUUGCAGAGUUCAGUGAAUCAUCGAAUCUUUGAACGCACAUUGCGCCCGUUAGUAUUCUGACGGGCAUGCCUGUCCGAGCGUCAUUUCAACCCUCAAGCACGGCUUGGUGUUGGCGGAUUGCGUGCCCUAGUGGCGCUGCAACCGCCCAAAUACAGUGGCGGUCCCGCUGCGGCUCCCUUUGCGUAGUAACUCACCUCGCACUGGACCGGGCGGCGGCUCGCCGUAAAACCCCAACUCACGAAAUGUUGACCUCGGAUCAGGUAGGAAUACCCGCUGAACUUAAGCAUAUCAAUAAGCGGGAGGA